Molecule: long non-coding RNA, 3725 nt
Organism: Eriocheir sinensis (Chinese mitten crab)
Lineage: Eukaryota; Metazoa; Arthropoda; Malacostraca; Decapoda; Varunidae
Exons: 2
Source: RefSeq, a predicted model, not a curated record
GAGGUACUAUUUAGAGACAGUGCCAAGUGGAAUGAAGUCAAGUGCUAAGUGGAGGGAAGUCAAGUAGGAGUUUAAAGACAUCAGCCAAAGAGGAAAGUGGUUCUAAGAGGUACUAUUUAGAGACAGUGCCAAGUGGAAUGAAGUCAAGUGCUAAGUGGAAGGAAGUCAAGUAGGAGUUUAAAGACAUCAGCCAAAGAGGAAAGUGGUUCUAAGAGGUACUAUUUAGAGACAGUGCCAAGUGGAGUGAAGUCAAGUGCUAAGUGGAGGGAAGUCAAGUAGGAGUUUAAAGACAUUGGCCAAAGAGGAAAGUGGUUCUAAGAGGUACUAUUUAGAGACAGUGCCAAGUGGAAUGAAGUCAAGUGCUAAGUGGAGGGAAGUCAAGUAGGAGUUUAAAGACAUCAGCCAAACAGGAAAGUGGUUUAACAGAGGCUAGUUUUGAAUGCUGAGAACACUACACACAUAACCACUUAACUGUCUGGUUCUAAGAGGUACUAUUUAGAUGGAUUAACAAGUGGAAUGAAGUCUCAGAGAAGGUUACAGACAUCAGCCAAAGAGGAAAGUGGUGUAAGAGGCUAGUUUUGAAUGCUAAGAACACUACACACAUAACCACUUAACUGUCUGGUUCUGUUCGGUACUAUUCAGAUGCACGGACGACUGGAACGAUCUCGUAUAGAAGUUUGAAGUCAAGUCUGAAGUCGGCAAAGUGGUCUGAUAUUCUGAGGACUUGCACACAUCACUCACUGUUAGUUUCGGAGCGAUACUUUUAGAGAGAGACGAGUUUGAGGCAGUGAUGGGGAAGCGUAACGUCGCCCGUCGAUCGUUAACACAAGAGGAGAAUGGGAGUGACGUAACAUCGGCAGUUCACACACGCACACACACCUUUCCGUUAAGCGUUCGUGUCGGGGGAAAGAAUACCGUGAAGAGUCGAACCGAGGUAUGAAAAUGAACUUGCGGCAAAAUGUUAGUCGUCUCUCAAGUUUCGGCAAAAUGUUAGCGGUUUUUCAAGUUUCGGCAAAAUGUUAGCGGUUUUUCAAGUUUCGGCAAAAUGUUAGCCGUCUCUCAAGUUUCAUUUUGCCGAUGGUUUGCUUUGCUUUUUCCGAGUUCUCUUUUGUUAUCAUUUAUUUAUUUAUUUGUUUUAGUUUAUUCUUCUUUUUCUUUCUAGUCCAUCUUCCCUUUUUCUUAUUGUUGUUGUUUUUUUCUUAUUGUUUUUCGUAUUGUAUUUAACUCAUUUUUAGUUUUAGUUUUGUUUACUUUUAAUUUAUUCUUCUUUAUUCUAUUUUUCUGUUUAUUUUAUUGUUUUAUGUAUUUUUUCUAUCAUUUAUUUAUCUUAUUUUACUUACCAUUAUUAUUUUUUCCUUCUAUUUCUCCUUUUUUUCCCGCUGACAAGAGUGCUAAUAGGGGACGGUGUGUGUGUGUGUGUGUGUGUGCGUGUGUGUGUGUGUGUGUGGACGGGCGACGUUACUCCCUUCCUCGAGGCCGUGACAAGCGAAUACAAACUGUGUACUCUCUCCGAACCCCAAGACACGUACACACUAAGUCAACAUAUCCACAUCAUCAUCAUCAUCAGCCUGUACACACCGCGCUACAUUUAAUACACAUCGUCGAACUGCGGAAAAAAAACGCAUAUGUGUGAUGUCUAUCGGUGUAUGUAUGUACGUGUGUAGUCUCUCUCUCGCUCUUUUGUAUAUAUAAAUUGCCGAGGAGGAAAGAAAGUGGUGGUAUACGUAACAUUGUCUAGUGUGGGGAGGGGAGGAGAGGAAGAAUCUGAAUAUCUCAAAAGCAGAAUAGUGUGUGUGAUUCUCUUAACCCGGUACCAGCGACGGGCCAAAUUUGUGGCUUUAUCGUGUAGCAGCGACGGGCCAAAUUUGUGGCUUUACUGUGUACCAGCGACGGGCCAAAUUUGUGGCUUUACCAUGUACCAGCGACGGGCCAAAUUUGUGGCUUUACCAUGUACCAGCGACGGGCCAAAUUUGUGCCAUGAUAAAGACCCCCAAAAUAGAUGAUGUAUAAACUGAUCACAAAUGCUUUGAUACAUAUUAUGAAAUGGUUUGCGUGAGUGAUGAUUUUUUCUCAUUUUUCUCGUUCAGAGGGACCUUUAAGAAACAUGAUCCCCGCAGCUACCAGGUUAAAAAGGAUUAGUGUUUGUGCGAUUUGACAAGGGGGAAUGAAAGGGAAGAGGGGAAGCUAUCGGGAUCUCCUUUAAAACUUAACCCCAUGCUUGUGUGAUCUUGAGGUAACUGCGUUUGUGUGAUCGGCCAAGUUGGAAUGAGAGGGGAGAGAGGAAGGAAGCCAUCAGGAGGUCGUUUAAACGUUGACCCCUGCUUGUGUGGUCAGCCAAGGGGGAAUGAUAGAGAGGCAGCUUUCAGGAUCUCAAAUAAAACCAUGAAUCAGUUUGGGUCUCCAGGAAACGUUUGGCAAAUUCGCUCGGUAAAACGGAAUCACUUGAAUGCCUUGAUGGUAUCGUCACACUUAUCAUGGGGAAGGGAAAGGCUCAGAUUCUAGUAUCAACCCCUUGACUACGGAUUUCCUACCAGAACACCUCACCAAGCUACAGGAAUGGAACAAAUGUAAAUGUAAAGUCCUGCACCUUGGGAGGGGAUAUCCACCAUACCACUACCACAUAGGAAACACUCCACUAUCCACCACAGAGGCAGAGAAAGAUGUGGGACUAUGUGUUACUAGGCUACCACUGAAAGCCAAAUCCAUGCCAAUCGCAGUGGACGGGUUAAAAGAAACCACCAUUAAAACUAAAACCUUUUACAACACGAAGCAUAUCACUGCACCGAGGCGUGACCACCGUCUGUCCGCUGGUUCACACGGGAGCAUUUUGUAUCAGGAAGGAGAGGAGAGCGGGGUCGGUGGUGCUGGCUGGCUGUAGUUCCCCGGAUGCUCAAUUGCUGCUCCAUAGGGUACGCUCGUGAAUUUGCGUCCGCCAUUCUGGUUAGUACUCAUGCAGAAACCGUGAUCCUUCCGGUGUAGUCUUGUUCCAUGCACGUACAACAAAAUAAAAGAGCAUAAAAAACUAUAUUAAGGUUAAAAUAAAAUAAGGUUAAAAUUAAAAAAAGUCAAAGAAGUGAAUGAUUGUCAGUUUUUCUUCAUCAGUAUUAAAACUCAGAUCAAUUUAAAAAGCAUAAAAAAACGUAGGAGUAAAAACAUUAACAUUAAAAAACUCAGAUCAAUUUAAAAAGCAUAAAAAAACGUAGGAGGAAAAACAUUAACAUUAAAACAAAAAAAAAGCCAAAGAAAAGAAUCCUUGUCAGUCUUUUCCUUCAUCAGUGUUAAACCUCAGAUCAAUUUUAUGUGUUUACUUAUUUAUUUAUUUAUUUAUUUACUUAUUUUUGUUUCCCUGGCAUGAGUACAGACUGGAAGGGUGCGUCUGUACUAUUGGCGAGUGUACCCUAUGGGCCACCUUGUCACUGCCGCCCCCCCACGCCUCGGCUGCCGGGGGUGGGCGGUGGCAGGCGCUGAGACCCCGACGGAGGCAGAGAGGACCAGAGACAGUGAUGGAAAGGAAAGAAAGAGUUAUCAAUUAAAAGACAGGGAUGGGGAAUUAAUUAAGAAUGGAGAAGCUAAAUAAAAAGAAGUUAUGUAUUAAUUUAGAGACGGACGGAGAAGGAAAGGAAAGGAAAGAAAGAGUUAUCAAUUAAAAGACAGGGAUGGAGAAUCAAUUAAUAGACAAAAUUGGAAAAGGAAAUUAAAAAAGAAGUUAUUAAUUUAGAGACGGA